UAGGGAAUCUUCGGCAAUGGACGGAAGUCUGACCGAGCAACGCCGCGUGAGUGAAGAAGGUUUUCGGAUCGUAAAGCUCUGUUGUAAGAGAAGAACGAGUGUGAGAGUGGAAAGUUCACACUGUGACGGUAUCUUACCAGAAAGGGACGGCUAACUACGUGCCAGCAGCCGCGGUAAUACGUAGGUCCCGAGCGUUGUCCGGAUUUAUUGGGCGUAAAGCGAGCGCAGGCGGUUAGAUAAGUCUGAAGUUAAAGGCUGUGGCUUAACCAUAGUACGCUUUGGAAACUGUUUAACUUGAGUGCAAGAGGGGAGAGUGGAAUUCCAUGUGUAGCGGUGAAAUGCGUAGAUAUAUGGAGGAACACCGGUGGCGAAAGCGGCUCUCUGGCUUGUAACUGACGCUGAGGCUCGAAAGCGUGGGGAGCAAACAGAAUUAGAUACCCUGGUAGUCCACGCCGUAAACGAUGAGUGCUAGGUGUUAGACCCUUUCCGGGGUUUAGUGCCGUAGCUAACGCAUUAAGCACUCCGCCUGGGGAGUACGACCGCAAGGUUG
Molecule: ribosomal RNA, 550 nt
Filed under: uncultured bacterium
Lineage: Bacteria
Description: bacterial SSU rRNA
Rfam family: Bacterial small subunit ribosomal RNA
Source: RNAcentral